Molecule: ribosomal RNA, 235 nt
Filed under: uncultured bacterium
Lineage: Bacteria
Description: partial 16S ribosomal RNA
Rfam family: Bacterial small subunit ribosomal RNA
Source: RNAcentral
GUAUCAUGGCUCAGGAUGAACGCUAGCUACAGGCUUAACACAUGCAAGUCGAGGGGCAGCAUGAACUUAGCUUGCUAAGUUUGAUGGCGACCGGCGCACGGGUGAGUAACACGUAUCCAACCUUCCGUUUACUCAGGGAUAGCCUCUCGAAAGAAAGAUUAAUACCUGAUAGUAUGGUGAGAUUGCAUGAUAACACCAUUAAAGAUUUAUUGGUAAACGAUGGGGAUGCGUUCCA